AUGAACGCUGGCGGCGUGCCUAAUCCCUGCAAGUCGAGCGAACGGACGAGAAGCUUGCUUCUCUGAUGUUAGCGGCGGACGGGUGAGUAACACGUGGAUAACCUACCUAUAAGACUGGGAUAACUUCGGGAAACCGGAGCUAAUACCGGAUGAUAUUUUGAACCGCAUGGUUCAAAAGUGAAAGACGGUCUUGCUGUCACUUAUAGAUGGAUCCGCGCUGCAUUAGCUAGUUGGUAAGGUAACGGCUUACCAAGGCAACGAUGCAUAGCCGACCUGAGAGGGUGAUCGGCCACACUGGAACUGAGACACGGUCCAGACUCCUACGGGAGGCAGCAGUAGGGAAUCUUCCGCAAUGGGCGAAAGCCUGACGGAGCAACGCCGCGUGAGUGAUGAAGGUCUUCGGGUCGUAAAACUCUGUUAUUAGGGAAGAACAUAUGUGUAAGUAACUGUGCACAUCUUGACGGUACCUAAUCAGAAAGCCACGGCUAACUACGUG
This 496-nucleotide ribosomal RNA is filed under the name uncultured bacterium. RNAcentral describes it as "partial 16S ribosomal RNA". It matches the Rfam family "Bacterial small subunit ribosomal RNA", at positions 29 to 507 of the family's 1533-position model. The record is from RNAcentral.